GAUGAACGCUGGCAGCGUGCUUAACACAUGCAAGUCGAACGGAAAGGCUCCUGCUUGCAGGGGUACUCGAGUGGCGAACGGGUGAGUAACACGUGGGUGAUCUGCCCUGCACUUCGGGAUAAGCCUGGGAAACUGGGUCUAAUACCGGAUAGGACGAUGGUUUGGAUGCCAUUGUGGAAAGUUUUUCGGUGUGGGAUGAGCUCGCGGCCUAUCAGCUUGUUGGUGGGGUAAUGGCCUACCAAGGCGUCGACGGGUAGCCGGCCUGAGAGGGUGUACGGCCACAUUGGGACUGAGAUACGGCCCAGACUCCUACGGGAGGCAGCAGUGGGGAAUAUUGCACAAUGGGCGCAAGCCUGAUGCAGCGACGCCGCGUGGGGGAUGACGGCCUUCGGGUUGUAAACUCCUUUCGCUAGGGACGAAGCGCAAGUGACGGUACCUGGAGAAGAAGCACCGGCUAACUACGUG
RNAcentral lists this ribosomal RNA (465 nucleotides) under uncultured bacterium. RNAcentral's name for it is "partial 16S ribosomal RNA". It matches the Rfam family "Bacterial small subunit ribosomal RNA", at positions 28 to 507 of the family's 1533-position model. The record is from RNAcentral.